RNAcentral lists this transfer RNA (71 nucleotides) under Liquorilactobacillus vini DSM 20605. RNAcentral's name for it is "Lactobacillus vini DSM 20605 tRNA". It matches the Rfam family "tRNA". From Rfam's summary of the family: Transfer RNA (tRNA) molecules are approximately 80 nucleotides in length. Their secondary structure includes four short double-helical elements and three loops (D, anti-codon, and T loops). RNAcentral also lists the same sequence under 1 other name. Lineage: Bacteria; Bacillati; Bacillota; Bacilli; Lactobacillales; Lactobacillaceae. The record is from Rfam by way of RNAcentral.
GCGGGUGUAGUUUAGUGGUAAAACACCAGCUUCCCAAGCUAGCGUCGCGAGUUCGAUUCUCGUCACCCGCU